This 630-nucleotide long non-coding RNA is filed under the name Rhinopithecus bieti (black snub-nosed monkey). Its description in RNAcentral is "lncRNA (ENSRBIG00000046266.1)". The record is from RNAcentral. Lineage: Eukaryota; Metazoa; Chordata; Mammalia; Primates; Cercopithecidae.
GUUUUCUGGGGCAUGCUGGGAAGGCUCCCAGGACUGUUUAUCCCGCUCCUGAGGGUGGGGAGGUACCCCCAGGCGCAGGCAUACAGUACAGUGGGGUCAACAUCUAGCUGACCUAAUUAAAAGCUCAUUACACCAGCCCAUCCCCAUUAACAGGCUGACCCACGGUGCAAAUCCAUUAACGCAGGAGUCUUCCCUGCUUCCCAAACCAGGAGUCCCAGCCACAGCCCGGGGGCCCUGGAAACUCCAGCAAGUUUAUUAAAGUGCCUUCCCCGCCUGUGACCAUCAGGCAAAGGGAGAAUCUUGCCGGGAAUCUCACUUCUAGCCAAUGAAGAAUUUUCAGAAAAGCGAAACGGAAGGCAUCAUUUUGGCAUCUCUGCAGAUCUGUAUUCUGAAAGGAAUUCCUUUGGCAUCAAUGGAGAGCCUAACUAAGAGUGACUUAAACUAUUUUACUUACAAGUAUCCAUCUGGAGAAAGUUCUAAACACCUUGUCCCUCUGAAUGUGCUCAGCUUUGCCUGUGCCAUCACCGAGCAGUCAGAAUCACACUGCAGCUUCCAGGACAAAGAAAAGUCCAGAUAGAGAGAGGAUCCAUCUGAAUAGCAUCUCUGUUUGGCUUCCAUGGCCAGAUAUUC